UGGGGAAUAUUGCACAAUGGAGGGAACUCUGAUGCAGCGACGCCGCGUGAGUGAUGAAGGAAUUCGUUUCGUAAAACUCUGUUCUAUGGGAAGAAAAGGACUGUACCAUAGGAGAAAGCUCCGGCUAAAUACGUGCCAGCAGCCGCGGUAAUACGUAUGGAGCGAGCGUUGUCCGGAAUUAUUGGGCGUAAAGGGUACGCAGGCGGCUUUACAAGUUGGAUGUGAAAUAUUGUGGCUCAACCACAAACGUGCAUCCAAAACUGCAAAGCUUGAGUUAAGGAGAGGUAAGUGGAAUUCCUGGUGUAGCGGUGGAAUGCGUAGAUAUCAGGAGGAAUACCGGUGGCGAAGGCGACUUACUGGACUUAAACUGACGCUCAGGCACGAAAGCGUGGGGAGCAAACAGG
This 404-nucleotide ribosomal RNA is filed under the name Fusobacteriota bacterium. Its description in RNAcentral is "Fusobacteria bacterium partial 16S ribosomal RNA". It matches the Rfam family "Bacterial small subunit ribosomal RNA", at positions 355 to 776 of the family's 1533-position model. Lineage: Bacteria; Fusobacteriati; Fusobacteriota. The record is from RNAcentral.